UAACAGGAUUUAGAUACCCUGGUAGUCCACGCCGUAAACGAUGCUAACUCGUUUUUGGGCUUUUGGGUUCAGAGACUAAGCGAAAGUGAUAAGUUAGCCACCUGGGGAGUACGUUCGCAAGAAUGAAACUCAAAGGAAUUGACGGGGGCCCGCACAAGCGGUGGAUUAUGUGGUUUAAUUCGAUGAUACGCGAGGAACCUUACCAAGGCUUAAAUGGGAAAUGACAGGCUUAGAAAUAGGCUUUUCUUCGGACAUUUUUCAAGGUGCUGCAUGGUUGUCGUCAGCUCGUGCCGUGAGGUGUUAGGUUAAGUCCUGCAACGAGCGCAACCCCUGUCACUAGUUGCCAUCAUUCAGUUGGGGACUCUAGUGAGACUGCCUACGCAAGUAGAGAGGAAGGUGGGGAUGACGUCAAAUCAUCACGGCCCUUACGCCUUGGGCCACACACGUAAUACAAUGGCCGGUACAGAGGGCAGCUACACAGCGAUGUGAUGCAAAUCUCGAAAGCCGGUCUCAGUUCGGAUUGGAGUCUGCAACUCGACUCUAUGAAGCUGGAAUCGCUAGUAAUCGCAUCAGCCAUGGCGCGGUGAAUACGUUCCCGGGCCUUGUCACACCGCCCGUCAAGCCAUGGAAGUCUGGGGUACCUGAAGUCGGUGACCGUAACAGGAAGC
This 668-nucleotide ribosomal RNA is filed under the name Chryseobacterium sp. enrichment culture clone GK17. Its description in RNAcentral is "bacterial SSU rRNA". It matches the Rfam family "Bacterial small subunit ribosomal RNA", at positions 770 to 1453 of the family's 1533-position model. Lineage: Bacteria; Pseudomonadati; Bacteroidota; Flavobacteriia; Flavobacteriales; Weeksellaceae. The record is from RNAcentral.